Molecule: ribosomal RNA, 119 nt
Organism: Microcebus murinus (gray mouse lemur)
Lineage: Eukaryota; Metazoa; Chordata; Mammalia; Primates; Cheirogaleidae
Source: Ensembl
CUCUAUGGCCACACCACCCUGAAUGCGUCCCAUCUUGUGUGAUCUUGGAAGCUAAGCAGGGUCGGGCCUGGUUAGUACUUGGAUGGGAGACCACUUGGGAAUGCCGGUUGCCGAAGGCU